AAAAAUCUUACUAUUAUAUUUGUAUUAAAAUUUGUAUAAGUAUAAAAGCACUUAUACAGCCAUUCUGCUCGAAAUGGUACAGCGGUUUUUUAACUGGUGUUAUGAAUUGUAGCAACGCGAGAGUCGGCGUAUAACAGGCUUGGCGGUACUCUGUGCGGGUAUUCUAACAACGAUAUAAUUUAGAAAGUAAGCUAAAUCGGGACUUCUGGGGCGGAGUACAGAAGAAUAGACGAGCUAGUCUAUGUUAGAAUAAGU
RNAcentral lists this non-coding RNA (255 nucleotides) under unclassified sequences. RNAcentral describes it as "ARRPOF RNA". It matches the Rfam family "ARRPOF RNA". The record is from Rfam by way of RNAcentral.